AAUUAUAUUUAAUUACAAGUGUGCCCCUGGUAGUCUUUAACUGAAGGGCACUGACUGGGUCACUGGUGAAGUUCCCCGCAGGAACUGAGUCAGACCCCAUCUCAGGGCCCUGCACAAGAUAGGUGCCUGCUCUAAGGCGUGGACCCUCGCCACAGCCCUGGCCCGUCUUGACGGGCGAGGGUUACUGUACUUGUCCCAACCGUACAGAUGAGAAAGCUGAGACUCAGGGCCAGCAACCCGGGUCCCAGCGGAGCGCCCGGCACACGCCGACACUUCAGCACCAGUGGCGGUGGCCACCACUGUGGGCGGAGAUGGCUGCGACGCGUGCGCAGGUAAAGUCUAUGCGCGCCUUGCCUCCCACCGGCGCCUUCCCCGGCCUCUGGUUUUUGUCCCCGCCAGCGGCUCCGACUCCAUCGCGUCCUCUUCCAGUCUAGUGCUUUUUUCCAGAUCUCGAUCCCAAACUCCCUCCUGCCAGAAUCUGGACCCGAAUCCACCCAUUGCCCGUUUUCCGCUGCCGCUGGAGAGAAUCUCUGAGGUCCCCAGGAGAGCCUGCCUGCACGGAAGAGACGCCUCCUCGGUAUGGCCGCCCCCGGAGAGGAGCGAUUAAGUGCAGACCUCCUUGUUGCUCUUGAGCCUGAGCGGCUUCAGGGAGCCAUGUUUGUUACUGGCGGGCGCCGACCUCACUGAGCAUGUGCAGCCCUGGCCGGGCGGCCUCAAAGUUCUGACAUCACAGGGCGGUUCCUGAAGUGGACGUAGUUGUAAGAGCUAGUUAUUUUAGACAAUGCCUCUGGGAUCAGGGACUCUAAUCUGGAAAUAGGUAGUCGGAGAGGUCGGUGAUGCAGUCUCUGGAUCAGAGACCUGAGCUAUAUGGGGUUAGAGAGGGGCCCUGGGCAGGCGAGUCUCUGGGGAGUGUGGUGAGAAUCCUUGUGUAAGAUGCUGGGAGGAGGUGGGGUCAGGGCUGGGGUCCGUGGGCCGACGGGUUGGGGGAUGGCCAGCGUCAGGGAUCAGUAGUAGAGAUUCUAUGUGCCCUGAUCGCCAGUGGAGGUUUUAAAUACAGAGUAUUCAUGAGUUUAGCAAUGUUUUUCGCCUCUCAUUAUUUAAAUAAUUUGAAGUUUUCCCCAAUAACUAGUGUCUUAGAAGUCAUGAAAAUUUCAGAAAAUGACAGGUCUUCUGAGUUCGUGAUGGGAGUUGGGCAGCAGUCGCAUACGAGCACCUGGAGAGUCCUUGCCAGUUCUUUGGGGAUGGGGAGCUCUUAAGACUGCCCUGAGACCGCCCUUUGACCUCAUUGUGGUCCUUUCUAGAUUAAAUGCUGUUUUCCAUGACCGUCUCUGUUCUUCCCAUACGGGAAUGGCAGGCAUUCAGAUCUCCAAGAAUAGAGGAUUAGGAGAGACUCCACCACCUAUGUCCUCACAGUUAAUUAUCGAUUUGUGUCAGUUGCCCAUUUUCUCACUUCCUGUUUGUGUGUCAAGGGGUAUUAAUAAAUCUUUGCCUAUUUAAAGAUAUUAGCCUUGGAUUUUCAAAUAUUGCAUAUUUUGACAUGUAAAAAUUUGUUAGUUUUAUUUUUUCAACCGAUCUGACCUGUAUAGUUGGGCUUGAGGAAGCUUCCUCAUUCUACAUGUUACUAUGGAUUUUCUAAUAUUAACACAGGGUUGUAUUUUUUCCAUAUAACUUUCUAUUGAAUUUCUUUUUCCAUAUGAUAGGUGGUGAAGGUUUAGCCCAGUAAAGCAGAGAGGUUAAGAGGUUAGAUUGGGGGCUCUGGAGCCAGACCUGUGUAGAUCUGAGUCGUGGCUCUGGCACUUGAAAGCCGUGUGACCUUGGUUAAGAUACUUAGUCCCUCUCUGCCAAAUGGAGAAAUAAGGGCACCUACCCCAUAGGGUAGUUGUGUGAUUACACAAGUUAAUACACUUCAAUCAGUAGCAAGAAAGUGAAUGUCAAGCUGUAUUUGUUCAGGCAGCCAUAUGGUAGCCCCACGUCCUUAGUAAACUGAGGUAUUGAAGUAUCUUCUUUUUCUUUCAGAAAAUAUUUGUCAAGCACCUUCUGUGUUCAAAGAACUGUUCUAGAGCUUUGCAUGCUAUGGAGGUCUAGAAAUUCACAUUAUGGUGGCAGGUGACAGACAAUACAAAGAGAUAAAGCAAUUUCAUAUAGUGAUAAGCUAGGGAGGAGUGCUAAAAGGAGCCAAGGUGUAGUGGUGACUGGAAGGUGACCAGGGAAACCACUGUAGGGUUUCUAAGUGAUGAGAUCUGUGACAAAUCCCUGUGGUCAGCAGCAGGCAUUGGAUAUGUAACUUUAUUCUGUCCCAUUGAUCUUGUAGUCAACCCUGGUCUGUUCUGUAUUGUUUUAAUUACAUAAUCUUUGUAAUAAUCUUUAAUACCUGGUGGAGUGCUCUGUUUACUUAUUUCUGCGUAAUUAACCACCCCUAAGCUUAACUUACUCAUGGUUCUGCAGGGUGACUGCUCUCCAUGUUUCUAGGUGGUUCUGCAUGGGGCCUCUCACAUGUGCUACAGUCAAACAUUAGCCGGGGCCACAGUCAUCUGAAACUCACUUACAUGGCUGACAAUAGAUGUUGGCUGUUGCCUGGAGAAGACAUAUGUGGCGUGGUGGAAUGGAAUGGUGACUAGAUUCAAGAAAGAGCUUCCCAGGAGGAAGGCUACCAAGAGACCGAAGUAGAGGCUUCAGUUUCUUAAAAAAAAAAAAAAAAAA
This 2700-nucleotide long non-coding RNA is filed under the name Homo sapiens (human). Its description in RNAcentral is "non-protein coding GLIDR:20". The record is from RNAcentral. Lineage: Eukaryota; Metazoa; Chordata; Mammalia; Primates; Hominidae.